GAUGAACGCUGGCGGCGUGCUUAACACAUGCAAGUCGAACGAUUAAGCCCAGCUUGCUGGGUGGUUUAGUGGCGAACGGGUGAGUAACACGUGAGUAACCUGCCCUUAACUCUGGGAUAAGCCUGGGAAACUGGGUCUAAUACCGGAUAGGAGCGUCCACCGCAUGGUGGGUGUUGGAAAGAUUUAUCGGUUUUGGAUGUACUCGGGGCCUAUCAUCUGGUUGGUGAGGUAAUGGUUCACCAAGGAGAGGACGGGUAGCCGGCCUGAGAGGGUGACCGGCCACACUGGGACUGAGGCACGGCCCAGGCUCCUUCGGGAAGCAGCAGUGGGGAAUAUUGCACAAUGGGCGCAGGCCUGAUGCAGCGACGCCGCGUGGGGGAGGACGGCCUUCGGGUUGGAAACCUCUUUCGGUAGGGAAGAAGCGAAAGUGACGGUACCUGCAGAAGAAGCACCGGCUAACUACGU
RNAcentral lists this ribosomal RNA (465 nucleotides) under uncultured bacterium. RNAcentral describes it as "partial 16S ribosomal RNA". It matches the Rfam family "Bacterial small subunit ribosomal RNA", at positions 28 to 506 of the family's 1533-position model. The record is from RNAcentral.